GACGAACGCUGGCGGCGUGCUUAACACAUGCAAGUCGAACGGAAAGACCCUGCUUUUGUGGGGUGCUCGAGUGGCGAACGGGUGAGUAACACGUGAGUAACCUGCCCUUGACUUUGGGAUAACUUCAGGAGACUGGGGCUAAUACCGGAUAGGAGCUCCUGCUGCAUGGUGGGGGUUGGAAAGUUUCGGCGGUUGGGGAUGGACUCGCGGCUUAUCAGCUUGUUGGUGGGGUAGUGGCUUACCAAGGCUUUGACGGGUAGCCGGCCUGAGAGGGUGACCGGCCACAUUGGGACUGAGAUACGGCCCAGACUCCUACGGGAGGCAGCAGUGGGGAAUAUUGCACAAUGGGCGGAAGCCUGAUGCAGCAACGCCGCGUGCGGGAUGACGGCCUUCGGGUUGUAAACCGCUUUCGCCUGUGACGAAGCGUGAGUGACGGUAAUGGGUAAAGAAGCACCGGCUAACUACGUG
RNAcentral lists this ribosomal RNA (468 nucleotides) under uncultured bacterium. RNAcentral describes it as "partial 16S ribosomal RNA". It matches the Rfam family "Bacterial small subunit ribosomal RNA", at positions 28 to 507 of the family's 1533-position model. The record is from RNAcentral.